This 506-nucleotide ribosomal RNA is filed under the name uncultured bacterium. RNAcentral's name for it is "partial 16S ribosomal RNA". It matches the Rfam family "Bacterial small subunit ribosomal RNA", at positions 29 to 523 of the family's 1533-position model. The record is from RNAcentral.
AGUGAACGCUGGCGGUAGGCCUAACACAUGCAAGUCGAACGGCAGCACAGGAGAGCUUGCUCUCUGGGUGGCGAGUGGCGGACGGGUGAGGAAUACAUCGGAAUCUACUUUUUCGUGGGGGAUAACGUAGGGAAACUUACGCUAAUACCGCAUACGACCUACGGGUGAAAGCAGGGGAUCUUCGGACCUUGCGCGAUUGAAUGAGCCGAUGUCGGGUUAGCUAGUUGGCGGGGUAAAGGCCCACCAAAGCGACGAUCCGGAGCUGGUGUGAGAGGAUGAUCAGCCACACUGGAACUGAGGCACGGUCCGGACUCCUACGGGAGGCAGCAGUGGGGAGUAUUGGACAAUGGGCUCAAGCCUGAUCCAGCCAUACCGCGUGGGUGAAGAAGGCCUUCGGGUUGUAAAGCCCUUUUGUUGGGAAAGAAAUCCAGCUGGUUAAUACCCGGUUGGGAUGACGGUACCCAAAGAAUAAGCACCGGCUAACUUCGUGCCAGCAGCCGCCGUAA